RNAcentral lists this ribosomal RNA (433 nucleotides) under uncultured bacterium. Its description in RNAcentral is "partial 16S ribosomal RNA". It matches the Rfam family "Bacterial small subunit ribosomal RNA", at positions 29 to 507 of the family's 1533-position model. The record is from RNAcentral.
AACGAACGCUGGCGGCAUGCCUAACACAUGCAAGUCGAACGAGCCCUUCGGGUCUAGUGGCGCACGGGUGCGUAACGCGUGGGAACCUGCCCUUAGGUUCGGCAUAACUCUCCGAAUGGGGUGCUAAUACCGGAUAAUGUCUUCGGACCAAAGAUUUAUCGCCUUUGGAUGUGCCCGCGUUGGAUUAGCUAGUUGGUAGGGUAAAAGCCUACCAAGGCGACGAUCCAUAGCUGGUCUGAGAGGCUGAUCAGCCACACUGGGACUGAGACACGGCCCAGACUCCUACGGGAGGGAGCAGAGGGGAAUAGUGGACAAUGGGCUAAGGCCUGAUCCAGCAAGGCCGGGUGAGUGAUGAAGGCCUGAGGGUUGUAAAGCGCUUUUACCCGGGAUGAUAAUGACAGUACCGGGAGAAUAAGCUCCGGCUAACUCCGUG